This 478-nucleotide ribosomal RNA is filed under the name uncultured bacterium. Its description in RNAcentral is "partial 16S ribosomal RNA". It matches the Rfam family "Bacterial small subunit ribosomal RNA", at positions 28 to 523 of the family's 1533-position model. The record is from RNAcentral.
GACGAACGCUGGCGGCGUGCUUAACACAUGCAAGUCGAGCGAUGAAGUUCCUUCGGGAAUGGAUUAGCGGCGGACGGGUGAGUAACACGUGGGUAACCUGCCUCAUAGAGGGGAAUAGCCUUUCGAAAGGAAGAUUAAUACCGCAUAAGAUUGUAGUAUCGCAUGAUACAGCAAUUAAAGGAGUAAUCCGCUAUGAGAUGGACCCGCGUCGCAUUAGCUAGUUGGUGAGGUAACGGCUCACCAAGGCGACGAUGCGUAGCCGACCUGAGAGGGUGAUCGGCCACAUUGGGACUGAGACACGGCCCAGACUCCUACGGGAGGCAGCAGUGGGGAAUAUUGCACAAUGGGGGAAACCCUGAUGCAGCAACGCCGCGUGAGUGAUGACGGUCUUCGGAUUGUAAAGCUCUGUCUUCAGGGACGAUAAUGACGGUACCUGAGGAGGAAGCCACGGCUAACUACGUGCCAGCAGCCGCCGUAA